Molecule: long non-coding RNA, 907 nt
Organism: Tachysurus fulvidraco (yellow catfish)
Lineage: Eukaryota; Metazoa; Chordata; Actinopteri; Siluriformes; Bagridae
Exons: 4
Source: RefSeq, a predicted model, not a curated record
AUUUGUACCUGUGUAGACGCGAAGCCUCCGAAGGCGUUCUGCUGCUGAGAAAGCCAGUGGACGAUACUGAUGCUGUAACUCAGACCAUACCCAUAGAGCUCAGGUCCAGACAUCAGAGCCAGAAGCACAUACGAGGUCAUCUCUACUUCCAAAGAGUCGGUCACUGAUCCAUCGCUCGCUCUGCUCCAGUGACGUCCACCACCUGAUGGAGAUAUUAUAGAAAUACUGAAGCAAAGGUUCCCCAAAGAUAAGGUCUGAGAUGAGUGUGUUCCUCAUCUCCUCAUCUCCAGCCAGGGUGAAGGUGUAGAAGAGGAGAGCCUUGGCGUAGGUGGAGUUCACCUGAGUGUAUGCGUUCCUCAGGCAGGUCUGAGCUGUGCUCAGGAUCUCAGGAGUGAGUUGGUUGGUGCUCUCCAGGUACUGCAGGAUGAAGAUGUUGGGGGCGAAGCGCAGCAUGUUCUGCUCUCCACAGCCGUACGGCAUCGCCAGGAGACUCGCCAGGUUCUGUAGAGCUCGACCCAUCAGAUCUCCUGCGAAAUGAUGCUAAUAAACAGGUCCUGACCGUAGUCCUUGACUUCGAAGUUUUGCUGGAGCUCUGAGUUCUUCUCGUCCCAGACGGUGAUGACGUAAACUCCUUUUGUGGCCUCGCAGUUUAAACGAUAUGACAGAUCCACCAGACCGCUGGAGGUGGCGACGUUCAACCACUGACCGAUACGGUUUGAGUGCGGAUCCUUAAGAAGAAAAAGAAUCCAAUACUCUUACAUCCUAAAAUAUAGUCUUGAAAUGAGUAAUUAGCAUUAACAAACAAAUAAAACGUUUAAAUCAUAUUUAACAUUUUUAAAAUAAGAUGACAAUAUUUUUAAAGGCAAAUGGCAUGUUAUGAAAGUGUGUGUUAUGACUCUGUACCUUG